This 468-nucleotide ribosomal RNA is filed under the name uncultured bacterium. Its description in RNAcentral is "partial 16S ribosomal RNA". It matches the Rfam family "Bacterial small subunit ribosomal RNA", at positions 28 to 507 of the family's 1533-position model. The record is from RNAcentral.
GACGAACGCUGGCGGCGUGCUUAACACAUGCAAGUCGAACGGAAAGGCCCUGCUUUUGUGGGGUGCUCGAGUGGCGAACGGGUGAGUAACGCGUGAGUAACCUGCCCUUGACUUUGGGAUAACUUCAGGAAACUGGGGCUAAUACCGGAUAGGAGCUCCUGCUGCAUGGUGGGGGUUGGAAAGUUUCGGCGGUUGGGGAUGGACUCGCGGCUUAUCAGCUUGUUGGUGGGGUAAUGGCUUACCAAGGCUUUGACGGGUAGCCGGCCUGAGAGGGUGACCGGCCACAUUGGGACUGAGAUACGGCCCAGACUCCUACGGGAGGCAGCAGUGGGGAAUAUUGCACAAUGGGCGGAAGCCUGAUGCAGCAACGCCGCGUGCGGGAUGACGGCCUUCGGGUUGUAAACCGCUUUCGCCUGUGACGAAGCGUGAGUGACGGUAAUGGGUAAAGAAGCACCGGCUAACUACGUG